RNAcentral lists this transfer RNA (88 nucleotides) under Endomicrobium sp. Its description in RNAcentral is "tRNA-Ser". It matches the Rfam family "tRNA". Rfam says of the family: Transfer RNA (tRNA) molecules are approximately 80 nucleotides in length. Their secondary structure includes four short double-helical elements and three loops (D, anti-codon, and T loops). Lineage: Bacteria; Pseudomonadati; Elusimicrobiota; Endomicrobiia; Endomicrobiales; Endomicrobiaceae. The record is from RNAcentral.
GGAGAGGUGUCCGAGUUGGUUUAAGGAGUUAGUUUCGAAAACUAAUAUAUAGAAAACUAUAUCGUGGGUUCGAAUCCCACUCUCUCCA